GCAGCUCAGUUGAUAGAGCAUGAGACUCUUAAUCUCAGGGUUGGGGUUUCGAGACCCACAUUGGGCA
This is a non-coding RNA of Podarcis lilfordi (Lilford's wall lizard), 67 nucleotides long. The record is from the annotation of a GenBank genome assembly. Lineage: Eukaryota; Metazoa; Chordata; Lepidosauria; Squamata; Lacertidae.